GUCAGGAUGGCCGAGCGGUCUAAGGCGCUGCGUUCAGGUCGCAGUCCACUUCUGUGGGCGUGGGUUCGAAUCCCACUUCCCACUUCUGACA
Molecule: non-coding RNA, 91 nt
Organism: Schistocerca gregaria
Lineage: Eukaryota; Metazoa; Arthropoda; Insecta; Orthoptera; Acrididae
Source: the annotation of a RefSeq genome assembly